AUUGAACGCUGGCGGCAUGCCUUACACAUGCAAGUCGAACGGUAACAGGUUAAGCUGACGAGUGGCGAACGGGUGAGUAAUAUAUCGGAACGUGCCCAGUCGUGGGGGAUAACUACUCGAAAGAGUGGCUAAUACCGCAUACGACCUGAGGGUGAAAGCGGGGGAUCGCAAGACCUCGCGCGAUUGGAGCGGCCGAUAUCAGAUUAGGUAGUUGGUGGGGUAAAGGCUCACCAAGCCAACGAUCUGUAGCUGGUCUGAGAGGACGACCAGCCACACUGGGACUGAGACACGGCCCAGACUCCUACGGGAGGCAGCAGUGGGGGAAUUUUGGACAAUGGACGCAAGUCUGAUCCAGCCAUGCCGCGUGCGGGAAGAAGGCCU
RNAcentral lists this ribosomal RNA (381 nucleotides) under uncultured bacterium. Its description in RNAcentral is "bacterial SSU rRNA". It matches the Rfam family "Bacterial small subunit ribosomal RNA", at positions 30 to 417 of the family's 1533-position model. The record is from RNAcentral.